GCCCUAUACUCUGCAUGCGAAAACAAAGUGGCCCAGUAGGCCCUGCAUUUGGCGCAACUGAACCUUUUUGGAACCCUUGACUAAGUCAACCAGACGAAGCAACACCGCCAACUUGUCCUCUGGGAGCCAAAAAAACAUACUCUCAGUAUCAAUCUCGAUACCCAGAAAUGACAGAACCAACACUGGCCCGACUGUUUUCUGCUCCGAAACCAGAACCCCGAAGUCUAACACCACGUGUCGGAAGGCCUGGAGCAAAGAAAAGCAAUCCUGAGAACCCGCUGGGCCAACGAACAAAAAAAUUGUCCAAAUAAUGAGUCAAGGAUCCCAGACCUUGCGCCAUAAACC
This is a non-coding RNA of Pelobates cultripes (western spadefoot toad), 345 nucleotides long. The record is from the annotation of a GenBank genome assembly. NCBI's taxonomy places the organism in Eukaryota, Metazoa, Chordata, Amphibia, Anura, Pelobatidae.